This 69-nucleotide transfer RNA is filed under the name Rhacophorus modestus. RNAcentral describes it as "tRNA-Val". It matches the Rfam family "tRNA". From Rfam's summary of the family: Transfer RNA (tRNA) molecules are approximately 80 nucleotides in length. Their secondary structure includes four short double-helical elements and three loops (D, anti-codon, and T loops). Lineage: Eukaryota; Metazoa; Chordata; Amphibia; Anura; Rhacophoridae. The record is from RNAcentral.
CAAAAUGUAGCUUAACUAAAGCCUCUCGCUUACACCGAAAAAAUGUUUGUGCAACCCAAACCAUUUUGA